RNAcentral lists this ribosomal RNA (1132 nucleotides) under Kocuria sp. Its description in RNAcentral is "bacterial SSU rRNA". It matches the Rfam family "Bacterial small subunit ribosomal RNA", at positions 256 to 1396 of the family's 1533-position model. The record is from RNAcentral. Lineage: Bacteria; Bacillati; Actinomycetota; Actinomycetes; Micrococcales; Micrococcaceae.
GGUAAUGGCCUACCAAGGCGACGACGGGUAGCCGGCCUGAGAGGGUGACCGGCCACACUGGGACUGAGACACGGCCCAGACUCCUACGGGAGGCAGCAGUGGGGAAUAUUGCACAAUGGGCGGAAGCCUGAUGCAGCGACGCCGCGUGAGGGAUGACGGCCUUCGGGUUGUAAACCUCUUUCAGCACGGAAGAAGCGAAAGUGACGGUACGUGCAGAAGAAGCGCCGGCUAACUACGUGCCAGCAGCCGCGGUAAUACGUAGGGCGCAAGCGUUGUCCGGAAUUAUUGGGCGUAAAGAGCUCGUAGGCGGUUUGUCGCGUCUGCUGUGAAAGCCCGGGGCUUAACCCCGUGGUGUGCAGUGGGUACGGGCAGACUAGAGUGCAGUAGGGGAGACUGGAAUUCCUGGUGUAGCGGUGAAAUGCGCAGAUAUCAGGAGGAACACCGAUGGCGAAGGCAGGUCUCUGGGCUGUUACUGACGCUGAGGAGCGAAAGCAUGGGGAGCGAACAGGAUUAGAUACCCUGGUAGUCCAUGCCGUAAACGUUGGGCACUAGGUGUGGGGGACAUUCCACGUUUUCCGCGCCGUAGCUAACGCAUUAAGUGCCCCGCCUGGGGAGUACGGCCGCAAGGCUAAAACUCAAAGGAAUUGACGGGGGCCCGCACAAGCGGCGGAGCAUGCGGAUUAAUUCGAUGCAACGCGAAGAACCUUACCAAGGCUUGACAUACACCAGACCGGCCCAGAGAUGGGUUUUCCUCUUUGAGGUUGGUGUACAGGUGGUGCAUGGUUGUCGUCAGCUCGUGUCGUGAGAUGUUGGGUUAAGUCCCGCAACGAGCGCAACCCUCGUUCUAUGUUGCCAGCACGUGAUGGUGGGGACUCAUAGGAGACUGCCGGGGUCAACUCGGAGGAAGGUGGGGAUGACGUCAAAUCAUCAUGCCCCUUAUGUCUUGGGCUUCACGCAUGCUACAAUGGCCGGUACAAUGGGUUGCGAUACCGUGAGGUGGAGCUAAUCCCAAAAAGCUGGUCUCAGUUCGGAUCGUGGUCUGCAACUCGACCACGUGAAGUCGGAGUCGCUAGUAAUCGCAGAUCAGCAACGCUGCGGUGAAUACGUUCCCGGGCCUUGUACACACCGCCCG